This is a non-coding RNA of Lolium perenne, 450 nucleotides long. The record is from RefSeq and is a predicted model, not a curated record. NCBI's taxonomy places the organism in Eukaryota, Viridiplantae, Streptophyta, Magnoliopsida, Poales, Poaceae.
UUUACUUCUCUGGUUUUUUUAGGUAACAUUCGGCCCAUCCCAGAUCUUCCCGACCCGGUAAGCUUCACCCUCCGGUUUUCUCAACCACGAGGUCGACCCCGUGUAUUGGCUCGUGAAAAGGGGAGACGAGGCGAGGCAACGGCGGCGAUGGCGGCGGGGAAAGGCGACGGCGGUGGGGAAAGAACGCACAAAUCACAACGGCGGCGUCGAGGUACUCCUCCGGCGACUGGUCCCCGCUGGAGGCCCUCUGACGGCAGCGUGGUUUCCGGCGUUUGGCGGCGAGCGUGCCAGACUUCUAAUGUUCUUCAAACUACAUGACAAUGAGUUUAUGGCGGCAGUUGCUUAUCUGUUGGGUCGAACAUUUAUUUAUAUGUGUGUUCUAGUUCGAGAAAAUUGUAUGACAAAAUUGCAUGAUACUGAGUUUAUGUUAAAGACGGAGUUUUUAAUUUA